Molecule: non-coding RNA, 29 nt
Filed under: Rattus norvegicus (Norway rat)
Lineage: Eukaryota; Metazoa; Chordata; Mammalia; Rodentia; Muridae
Source: RNAcentral
UACUUGUAGGGUAGCUCUAAAUGCACUUG